GGGCACAAAAACCCAAGAAAGCCCACUAUCUCCUGCUAACGUUUUAUUAUAGUCACUGCCUGACAAUCAUUUUUGUCAAAGAGCCACAUUCUGUAAACACUUUUCAGUGGUCUCUGCUGCCUUACUUUGCUCCUGUGGCGGAGCAUGAAGUGAAACAGCAAUGCAGGAGCAUUACCACAGUUGCUUUCUCUUCUCGGACAAUAGCCAGGCUUCUUUGGAAGGACCUCCGUGUUGGCAGGCUGCUUUUCAUUACAACAAGGAAGCCAGUUUUGGAUAUCACAUGCAGCUGAAAAAUUGGAAAGACAUGGGAGAUAAUGCAGUUAUUAGCAUUGUUCUUAUCCUGGAGUGUAGGAAGAAGAUGAUCAUUAUGGAAAGACAGAUGUGGCACCACAAGUUCAGCUCUGCUGCCCAGCCACCUUCUUCAAGGCUUUGGGAUACCUUUAACUCACAGGCAGAUAUUAAGCAAAAAGUACUUCAGCCUGAGUUGCUGAUUAACCAAAUACAACUUGAGAAGUUAAAGACAUAAUCUAAGAAGAAGAUCACAGCUGGAACAUUUUGAGACUCAUAUUGAGAAUAUGACCCUAAAGCUGCCAGUUGACUCCUCCCACCCAGCACAGUCCCAGUGCUCUGCAGAUUUACAGAGGCUAUCACUGCAAGCUUACACUGUUGAUUAGUAGGGACAAUUUAGGCUGAUAAUCUUACUUCAUUGCAUUCAUAAGGAUUGAGUCAUGGGGGUCUUGUCAUUUGCUUUUCAUUUCCAAGAACCUGAGAAAUUUUACCACAUUCAGCGACUUAAUAGAUUAUGUGGCUCAGAACGACAUUCCACAACAGCAGAGCACCCUGGAGAUACACUCACUUGUCAUAAUAUAUAAAGCUUCUUCCAAAUCCAUUGUGCGUGGCUUUACACUGUUCACUGCAGACCUUGAAGGAAGAAAAGACUCUUUCCUUGUCUCAUUGCUCCCAUGAUGACAUUUGAAAGUCAGUAAAUUAAAUACUGGAAAGGAGUCUCGGAGUUCUGUUAUAUAUUUGUUUUUCUCUAAGAAACAGACUGGAAAAUGGCUUCACAGAAAGUUACUUCAGAGCAGAAUUAUGAAUGCUAUUUACAGAAUACCCUAGGCAUUAAUAUUUGACUUGUACAGGUAUGCUUGCUAAAAAAGAAAGGUACACAUCUCUUGUACAGUGUUAAUCAAUACAGCAUCCCAAGAUAUGAAGUUGCAGAGUCAGACACCUGUGCAAAAAUAAAGAGAAGCUCAGCUACCAAGUUCAACUGCAAUGAGAAACAGAUCCCUGACAACCUGGCUGACCAGCUCUUGCGCCUCUGCAUCG
This 1326-nucleotide long non-coding RNA is filed under the name Taeniopygia guttata (zebra finch). RNAcentral describes it as "lncRNA (ENSTGUG00000029146.1)". Lineage: Eukaryota; Metazoa; Chordata; Aves; Passeriformes; Estrildidae. The record is from RNAcentral.